Delphinapterus leucas (beluga whale) is the source of this 168-nucleotide small nuclear RNA. Its record names the gene U2. It matches the Rfam family "U2 spliceosomal RNA". Rfam says of the family: U2 is a small nuclear RNA (snRNA) component of the spliceosome (involved in pre-mRNA splicing). Lineage: Eukaryota; Metazoa; Chordata; Mammalia; Artiodactyla; Monodontidae. The record is from Ensembl.
AUCGCUUCUCGGCCUUUUGGCUAAGAUCAAGUGUAAAAUGAAUAUCAGAUGGGUGUGUAAUAGCUAUGUACUUAAAAUGUUAUUCUUUGUUUUAAGAGCCUUACCCUCAAGAGUUCAUUUGGGGCUCUAUAGUUGCUAAUGAUACUUAUGAUAAAGAGUUGAUUUUAC